Molecule: ribosomal RNA, 245 nt
Filed under: Loderus genucinctus
Lineage: Eukaryota; Metazoa; Arthropoda; Insecta; Hymenoptera; Tenthredinidae
Also listed under: 1 other name
Description: partial 16S ribosomal RNA
Source: RNAcentral
CUGUCUUUUUUUAAAUAAUUUUAAUUUAAUUUUUAAGUUAAAAAGCUUAAAUUUUUUUAAAGGACGAGAAGACCCUAUAGAGUUUUAUAAUAUUUAAUUUUUUAAAUUUUAAAUUAAUUUUUAAUUUAUAAAUAUUAUUUUAUUGGGGUGAUAGGAAAAUUUAAUAAACUUUUUUAAUUUAUUUACAUUUAUUUAUGAAAUUUUGAUCUUAAAUUUUAGAUUAUUAGAUUAAAUUACCUUAGGGA